GGUGAUUCAUUAAAAGAAAGAUUUUUGCCUCGUAUAACUUGAGGCACCACUCGGUUCAAGCUAGUCUGGAAAAAAUACAAAACGUAAAUAUUUGGCAAGAUGUGAGCGAAGAAAACGAAAAUGGAAUCAAUAUAGUGAAGUAAUAAUACGAUGAACUCCACUACGCAUAUCAUCUGGCACCAAACACCCCAGGAUGACACCGUCUUCUUCCGGUCACUUCCGGAUCGCCGAUGUCCGCAGCCGUUCUGCUUCCGGAUGGCAUGUCCGAAGAUUUUUACUCUUUUCCCCAGCACCGCAAAUCAUUUCCGCUGAUCCAGCGCUCAUCGGGAAAAGGUGGUGCUUUCCCACAACCACGCACAUCGAUCCCAGUUUUCCGGAAUUCUCAUUGGAUGACUCCCGAUUCGGGAUGGCCUGUCAUUGGACAAGACAUCAGAUGAUGGCAUUAACAUCUUCCAUUUAUUGCAGUCGAGGAAGACAAAGGAUUGAAGAGAGAUAUCGGCCCCUUCGUCUAAUUGGUUGGGAGUUAUAAAACAGAAAGGGGUAUUGCUGCGUUUUUAAAAACGGUUUGAUGGGAUUUUUAUUUUGAGUGGUAUUUCUCUGGAUCAAUAAUAGAGUAGAUAAGAUAUCCUCUUUCCUACAUGUUAAAAUUUUUAUGAAAUAUGUAUUCCCUGUUGAACUUGUUCAAUUUUUGCUGUAGUGCUACAUGACGGGCUGCAAAUUAGAACUUCAAUUUAAAAUUGAUUGGUUUGGAAGAAUUUCAUAACUCUCAACUUCCAUUUAUCCAAAGUUACUUUUUCAUUCCAGAUGGCAAAUGCUGUCUCUCCUUCAAACAAAAUCGGAAUAAGCCCUUUAAGAAUCCUUUGGCAAUUUAAGUUUUGUUCUUAACCUUUUUUUUAUCCCAAUUUCAAAAACAAGAUUUUUUUAAAGGAUUUUAAUUCAACUCGUAAUCUAUAUAAGCAUGCUUUGACAUAAUAUUACCUUAAACAAAAGAGAGGAUAGCAAAUCAGCCUCGAAUGAUCUGGUUUCAAUAUUUCAAAAACAACAACAAUAAAAACAUUAAAUGAUUUUAAACAGAAUGGUAAAAAAGAAUCUACAAAACUUUAAUGUAAUCUAAACUCUCAGCGACAAAAUUAACUAGAGCUGUUAACUGAUGAGUCAAUCAACCAAAUUCCCUCCCCCAUCAGUGUGGACCUCAAGAGACGGUCCACACUGAUUUGUAAAAGAAUUUCAAAUUAUAAAAAAGAAACUCUAAGAAUAAUGUUCUGAAAUCUUUACAUUAAUUGAUUUUAACUUGAAUCGGUUUAAUUGUAAGAUCUUUGUAAAUCAAAUGAAAGUGAUGAAUUUAAAUUAUGCUAAAAAAUAGCAAAAGAUUUGAAACAAAAAUAUUGAUAUUCUAAAAGUCUUGAGACCUUGGGGCUUCCCAAAGCUACUAGAUCUGUAGACUGUUUUAUCGUUUUAUAAUCCAAUUGCACCUGCAGAGGGAAUAAAUUUCAUUGUGUUAAGCCUAAUGCUUGACUUCGCUCCCUCCUCCCCCAGCUCAAAAAUAGGAAAGCCGAUGUCCUUCUCUAGCUGUUUUCAUAUAAGUCAUAUUAUAUUAACUAACAUUCAUUCAUUUAUUAAAAGACACACAGUGAAAUUGUCCAAUAUGUGCUUAUGGUGUCCCUUCAAAAUGUUGAAGAUUUAAAACCCAGCACUCGUUUUUCUUUGGAUCCGCUUCAGUACAUUAUUUACAUUGUUUGGGAAAACUCCUUUUUAGCAGUUUUGAAUUUCUCUGGAAUUUAUUAUUUUAUAGCCACUAAUUCCUCGGUACUACUUGCUGCGAGAAAUUAAAUCUUUCAUAAGCAGUUAGGGCUAAAUGGUUCCCUCAGUAAACAAAUUUUGAUAACUUGUUUCAGCUUUACAUCCUUUGGAUAAGCUAUGUCGAUGUAGAAACUAAAGAAAUAAUAAUAACAAAUUUUGAUAGACAUUUAUGUUAAAAGUCUCAUACCUUUAUAUUCAUUCAAUGUCCUAUAUGAAUAUCGCAAAUAUUGACCUUUUUCAUAGAUUUAAUCUUUUACCUUGAUAUACUGUUUAGUUUGGAAACUUUUUGUCUGCACAAUAACUGU
Molecule: long non-coding RNA, 2105 nt
Organism: Argiope bruennichi
Lineage: Eukaryota; Metazoa; Arthropoda; Arachnida; Araneae; Araneidae
Exons: 3
Source: RefSeq, a predicted model, not a curated record